RNAcentral lists this long non-coding RNA (5197 nucleotides) under Homo sapiens (human). Its description in RNAcentral is "HSALNT0299843". The record is from RNAcentral. Lineage: Eukaryota; Metazoa; Chordata; Mammalia; Primates; Hominidae.
AUCCCCCACCAGGGCCCCAGGCCUGCGCAGACCUGGGCAGAGCUGCUCGCUCCUUCCUUGGCUGAACGGAGCCUCUGCCUGCAACCUGUGUGUGCGGAUGCAUUGGCCUCCAGCCCCGGGCAGCGGCAUGUCCGUGGUGGAGCAGACAGACCAUGCAGGGCCCAGGAGCAGGCGCCCAGUGGGUCCCAUUUAGACACCCAGUGUGACUGUAACUGCUGGGUCUAUGCUGAUGUAAACUGCAAAUCUCAGAAGAGUCCUGCAGGAGGGGCACAGACCACAGACAUCAUGAGAACAGACAGCAGCCUGGCUCAGAGGAGACAGCUCAAAAGCCCAGGGUCCGGAGAAGGCCAGGAAGUGCCAAGCGCCUUCCCAGGGGAGGGGCCCAGGCAAUAAGGGGCUGUCCUUCUGGCCGCAGCUUCAAGUUGAACCAGCCCCGAAACUAUAUAAAAGACAAUUGAACCAGGGUGCCCAAACCCAUGUCAACCUGAAAACACAAACCUACUGAAGUCUAUCCAGCAGGGACCCUUUGGUGAAGAGUCAACCUAAUGAUGCCUCUCUCAGGGGUGGGAGUGAAAGGUGCUGCGGUCUCUGCCUUCAAAGACCCUCUGUCCUGCACCUGCGAGGCCCCUGCACAGAGCAGCUGAGAGGUCCCCGCUGCUCCGGCCACUGGCAAAGCUUCUGAUGCCCCUUCACUGCCCCCAGAUUUGCUGUUUAAAAAACCACCAACAGCAAAUAUGGUGAAAAAAUCGCAAUCCCUAGUGUCAAGUCUGACUGCCUGUGUGCAGAGAAUUCUGAGGCUGUAUUGGAGUCUUGAGUGAAAAACCCACAGAGGCAGAUGAGAAAUCUACUUUGACUCUAACAAAGGUUAACUGAGAAUUUGCCACGUUCCAGACACUGUGUGAAGUGCCAGAGAUCUAGGGGGGAACAAUUCAAACUCUCUCUUCUGAGAGCAUAAAUUUCAGACAGAAAUCCAGACAAAAACAAUUUGUGGCCAUUUUCUUUUUUCUUACUAAUAAGACCUGUGUUUGCUAUUUCCCAGGCAGCAAUUUGCACAUCUGAAAACUUGUCUUUCUCAGUCCGUGUUGCAGACAGGAAUAGCCCAUGUCAUACUCUGGCAAGAGAGAGGUAGGUGGAAGCUUUGUGGAGGGAUUGCUAUAGACUGUCUUAAAAGGGGGACAAACCCAACCAACAGGCACCACUUUGCUCUUGGACCUUGUCUCUUCCUGCUGCCUGAAACGAAUAAACAAUGGCAGGAGCUCCAGCAGCCUCCAUGAGGACAUGAGCACAGGGCCCAGUGCAGCAGAAACAUGGGGCUGCCAAACCAGCCUGACACUCCCACCCCCAGAUUUAUGAGUGAAAAAUGUAUUUUUAUAAAAGUGACUGUUCCUGGGGUUUCUAUUGUAAUAAUCCACUGUUCUUUGGGAAAUCAGCAGCUGAACUCAAUCACUAGUGCAACACAAGUAAACAAAUAAAUCCGGCAGAUGAUUCUGCUUGGCCUAAAUGCUGCAAAGGAAAUGACCAGGACACAAAGCACAGAAGCAGGAGGAAGGCAGCUUGGACCGGAAGGUCUGCAGGAGGAAGGACUGCCAAGCAGGGCUGUGCAGAUGGUGAGGGCCCAGCCGCAGAUAGGCUCUCCAGGCAGAGGUCUUGGCAGACCCAGAGGUUCUGAAUCCCAUCCAGCCACGUGCCACCUGAGAAAGCUGCGUAGACUAGACGGCACCUCAUGCAUGGCAGGGAAGUCAACAGAGUUGGAGUGGGAGAAGCCCACAAGGCAGGGGCUUGUAGAUCCGAGAAAAGAUUGCAGAUUUUAUUCUUUAAGCAGUAAGAAGUCACUGGGGGGCGCUGAGAGAAAAUGAGCUAGCCCAGGGGCUGCCCCCUGAAUUCUGCCUGUUGUGUUGGCCGGGAUACCUGCCAGGCCUACGGAUGCGGGAGGUGCUGCUGUAUCUCUGCCCUCCCUGCACUGGGAGCAGGCGCUCCCUCUUUAGUUACAAUGACAAAUAACAGAUCCGGGCAUGUCCAGUGUCCCCUGGGGGCACGAUGCCUCCAGCUGAGGACCACUGCAGAAUGUCUUCUGUAAAGAGAGGAAAGUCAGAGAAAUGGCAGAGUGGAGGAGGGGACACCGGGCAGCCGGGCAGAGAAUGCGGGGAGAAAUGCAGAUGUUCAAGAGGCAUCUUGGAGAAAAUCCUGCGGAAUUGACUGGAGGAAGCCCAGCCGGCAGGACUCAGCUCCACGCCGGGGAUGGAGCCCAGGUCCUGGCAAACGUGGAGGAGCGUUGUCCCUGCGAGCGCCCAGCCUGAACAGAAGGGAACGAGGGGGGAGCAAGCCCGCGGUGCGUGAUGCUGGUCAUUUAUUUGCCGCAGCUGCCAGCACACGUCCGCUAACCUGACGAACACGGAUCCUGACCUCUAACUUCACACACGCACCCAGGCUGAAAUGGAAGCACCAGCCGGGGCAGGUGGAGGGGCUGGAGGAGAAUCCAGAGGUUCCUCGCAGGUGCGUGGUGGUGACCCACUCCUCGGGUUUUCACAGGGAGACGUCAGGUAGCGGCUGGGCCUGAGGCUCGGGGGCCGGGUCUGGGCUGCAGUGAGGCUCGGCCAUCUCCGGCUUUGCUGCGCCAACAAGAGCAUUGCCUGCUGCUAUCCCACGCGUCCUCAUCCCAAAUCCCAGAUGAGGGCGCUGUGGCCUUGGCCACCCCCAACACGGCGCCUGGGCUCGCAUCUGGGUGGUGGUUUUUCCUGCUGCACCACCAGGGUGCCUUGGCGCUGGGACUACAGGAUGCACAGAGGACCGCGCGUGGUGGAAGAGAAGCCAGCCUGGCCCGUUUGUGCGAGCGCGGCCCCUAAGCCCGCAGGCUGCCCUGCUGGGAGGGGAGAGUGGGAAGCGGCCUCCGGGUUGGUUCCCAGUGGUCCCAGCUGGGGGCAGAAAUUCCAUCUGUCUCACAACAGAUGAGUAUUCUCAAGUGUGGGAAAGCAACACAGACCAGAAACUUAUCAGGGGGAGGAAAACUCCCCCUGAUAAGAUGCAAAGGAGCCUAGAAAAAAAAAAUUGGCCCAAAGAGCAAGCACUGCUGGUUCAGGAUAAUUUCAGGAUAAACUGCCCCAGCUAUUGGCAGAUGUUAAGAAACACUUCCAAGAACUCGAGGGCAAGACACACCAGCCUCCUAACAGAAACAGCACCCCUACCCCACCACACGCUGGAAGGUUCCAGAAGACCUUGGCAGGACCAAAGACGUCAGUCAAGGUGAUGGAUAGCUCAGGUCGCCAAUAUUUCCCAUCAAAAGUAGCACUUAGUAAUAAUUCCACACUCAUGGGGAAUACUUUGGGCAAAACUGGAGAAAAGGCUUUUGAGUUUCCUAACACUCACUAUUGCUCACGAAAUAGACAUCACAUUAAAUGCAGUAAAAGAGCAAAAAAAAAAAAAAUGGCUGGGCGUGGUGGUUCAUGCCUGUAAUGCCAGCACUUUGGGAGGCCAAGGCAGGCAAAUCACGAGGUCAGGAGUUCGAGACCAGCCUGACCAGCAUGGUGAAACCCCGUCUCUACUAAAAAUACCAAAACAAACAAACAAACAAAAAUUAGCUGGGCGUGGUGGCAGGCACCUGUAGUCCCAGCUACUCAGGAGGCUGAGGCAGGAGAAUCACUUGAACCAAGGAGAUGGAGGUUGCAGUGAGCCAAGAUCACACCACUGCACUCCAGCCUAGGCGACAGAGCAAGACUCCGUCUCAAAAAAAAAAAAAAAAAAGCAAAAAAUUAAAAUGGUGGAGGGCAAAAUAAUUUAAAAAGUGAACAAACCUAAAUGACUAGUUAGUUAUUCUAACAGUAGGCAAACGUCAUACUGUUAUUACACCUUUCCUGUAAAGAAGCUAUGCUCCAUUGUGGUAAAAACAAAAAAAAUGUGCCUGUGGUUUAUAAACACAAUAAACCUUAAAAUGCAAAGCGGUGCCUUGGCCUUCACGUCAGUAUCCCUCAAAGUGUCUGACUCCCCAGGUGAUGGUUCCAGGAGCUGGGGGCCUUUGGGAGGUGAUGAGGUCAUGGUGUGGAGCCCAUGGGUGGAUCUGUGCCCUUCUAAGAGACCCCAGAGAGACCCUCACCCCUUCCCCCAGGAGAGGUCUGUGAAAUAAGAAGCAGUCCUCACGAGACACCAAACCCACUGGGCCUUGGUCUUGGACUUCAGCCCCCAGAGCAGAGAGACGAGUGUCUGCAGCUUGUAAGCCCCAUCUGCUGUGGUUGUCACAGCUGCCGAGUGACCAAGGCAGGUGACAGAGGAAGCUGGAUUCGCUGCACAUCUGCUCCGUCCAGGCCUCUCACGAUGCCUACAGCAUCCCUGUCCUCUGGGAAGAGCCCUUGCUGUGAGGAAGAGCCCUGACACUCCAGCAUGUGCUUUGCAUAAAAGCUGCUGUCAUCUUACAGACUCCACAAGUGACCAGCCCAGCCGCAGGCACUGACUCAGGCCGCCAGGUUGCUGCCCCUCCCUGGGGCUGUGAGCAGGCAUCUGGCCACAGAGAAUCCUGGACUUGCUGCCAAGAGCCAGAUGUCGCCUGCUGGGACCCGCCAGGAGUCCUGUUCCCAGCCGAGCAGAGGGGCCUGGCGGAGAGGCCCAAGCCAAUGGCGGGGAGAAGCAGAGACGAGGCCUGGGCCCCACUCCCAUCUCUGUUCCUUUGAACUGAGGUUUUGUCACUGACAAUAAGGGUUCUGACUCACACAUCUGCUUAAGUUGUGGUUCGGGCACUUAACGUUUCAUCUGAAGUUUCCUGAACGUCAGCCAAAGGCCAUCAGCUCGGCAUCUAGAGCCUUUCAGGUCCGUAGGAAUCCACAGAUACAAGUUGUAGAGAAAGGAGGUCCAAAGAGAUAAAGUGUCAAACGACAUCAUAGUAAAUGGCCUCAAACAAAAACCUCCAAAGACUGUUUUCCCACCACAGCACACCGACUCAUAAUGAACAAGGAGAGAGGGAAUUUUGCUGAGCUUGGUGCUUCAGGAACGCCUAGAAAAGGAAGAGGCUUCUACCGCUGGUGCUUGAACCGAGGGGCAGCUCCUGCAGACAGGCCCUGAGGGCUGGCUGCCACGGAAACAACAACCGGGCUGAGCUGAGACCUGAGACACGAGGUCCCCUUGCUCCACGAGCACCUGGGGACCCGCCCCUGCACACCCCAGUGCUCCUGGGCUGGAAGCCGCAUCUCUCCAACCUCUGCCUUCGUCUUUU